GAUAAUUAGGGGGUUAGAAUUCAAUAAUUAGGGGGUUAGAAUGAUGAUGUUAAUCCUUUGUAAGGAUAAAAGGAAUGUUUGAUAUUUCACUAUUACGGGUUGCCCAAGAACACAAAUACAUGAGAUGACCCUUCAGUGAAUAGGUGUUGUGUAAUAGGUAUUUAAGGGGUUAAUAUGAAUACUAAAGUUGUGAUAUUCUCAGGGGGGAUUUUUGUCCUAUAAAUAUGAGUGCCUUGAAGAGGACUCUCCAUCGGGUCUCAAUCUAAUAUUCGGGAUACUUUGGGAAGAAC
This 290-nucleotide unclassified non-coding RNA is filed under the name Hevea brasiliensis (rubber tree). Lineage: Eukaryota; Viridiplantae; Streptophyta; Magnoliopsida; Malpighiales; Euphorbiaceae. The record is from RNAcentral.